UAAAGAAAAUUAUUCCACCUCCCAUAAAAUCUGCUUUGCUCCAGCAAGGAUUUAUUCAUCAAAAAGCUUCCAGGACCAGUGAGAGCCUGUGAGCAAAAGACGCCUGGAGAAAAUGUGUUUGAAUUCUGCAGCCCUGCAUUGUGAGGAGAUGAACAGCAUGAGAGAAUAGAGCAGAAACCAGUGAACCUGAGGGACUUCAAUGAAACUGAACAUGGGCACCAGAUCUGUGAAGAUGGCUGGAAAUGGUCCGUGGAGAAUUCCAAGGCAGGCAGCUUUGAACUGGAUAUGAAAUAAAUGGGAAAGCAAGUGCAAGUGGCUGCCAGUGGGGCUGUGAUAAGGCAAUGUGCAAACACUUCCUCUGAUAGCCCUGGAAUUAGCUGCAAUUAAGUGUGAUUUUGAUAAGGAACACAUGGAAUUUCCAGUUCAUCGCCAUGAGCAACGCUUGUGCAAAAUUCCUGCAGCGAACUGUGAGUCUCUGCAGGCUCUUCCUGAGGCUGGCUCUGUCUACAAAGCCUGUGGAAAUUCCAAAUUUCCAAAAACUGGAAGAAAUUGGGGCACACUGGAGUGAAAUAUUUGCUAAAUUGGAGUUUAAUGAGAAACUGGAAAUGGAGGAGGCAUCAAAACCUGUGUGAGAAACAGAAAGAAGAAAUGUGGAGGGCUGCAGACUGGAGCAUGGAGUGUCCCAGUCCAUCACCUCUCUCAGGUGGAUGCUGUUUGCAGGGAAAUCCCUGAGCUCACCAAGGUCUAUUUUGUUUU
Sturnus vulgaris (Common starling) is the source of this 756-nucleotide non-coding RNA. The record is from RefSeq and is a predicted model, not a curated record. NCBI's taxonomy places the organism in Eukaryota, Metazoa, Chordata, Aves, Passeriformes, Sturnidae.